RNAcentral lists this ribosomal RNA (207 nucleotides) under uncultured bacterium. RNAcentral describes it as "partial 16S ribosomal RNA". It matches the Rfam family "Bacterial small subunit ribosomal RNA", at positions 568 to 774 of the family's 1533-position model. The record is from RNAcentral.
CGCGCAGGCGGUACGUUAAGUCCAAGGUGAAAUCCCACGGCUCAACUGUGGGGGGACCCUGGAUACUGGCGUGCUGGAGUGCGGGAGAGGGAAGCGGAAUUCCACGUGUAACGGUGAAAUGUAUAGAUAUGUGGAGGAACACCGGUGGCGAAGGCGGCUUCCUGGACCGUAACUGACGCUGAGGCGCGAAAGCUGGGGGAGCGAACA